UACAGAACCUUCCUUUAAGUGGGGGAUAGCCCGGAGAAAUCCGGAUUAAUACCCCGUAACAUUGUGUGGUGGCAUCAUCAUAUAAUUAUAGAUUUAUCGCUUAGAGAUGGCUGUGCGGCUGAUUAGGUAGUUGGUGAGGGUAACGGCCCACCAAGCCAGCGAUCAGUAACUGGUGUGAGAGCACGACCAGUCACACGGGCACUGAGACACGGGCCCG
Molecule: ribosomal RNA, 217 nt
Filed under: uncultured bacterium
Lineage: Bacteria
Description: partial 16S ribosomal RNA
Rfam family: Bacterial small subunit ribosomal RNA
Source: RNAcentral